GGAUGAACGCUGACAGAAUGCUUAACACAUGCAAGUCUACUUGAACUUCGGUUUGGGUGGCGGACGGGUGAGUAACGCGUAAAGAACUUGCCUCACAGUUAGGGACAACAUUUGGAAACGAAUGCUAAUACCUGAUAUUAUGAUUUUAGGGCAUCCUAGGAUUAUGAAAGCUAUAUGUGCUGUGAGAGAGCUUUGCGUCCCAUUAGCUAGUUGGAGAGGUAACGGCUCACCAAGGCGAUGAUGGGUAGCCGGCCUGAGAGGGUGAACGGCCACAAGGGGACUGAGACACGGCCCUUACUCCUACGGGAGGCAGCAGUGGGGAAUAUUGGACAAUGGACCAAAAGUCUGAUCCAGCAAUUCUGUGUGCACGAUGACGUUUUUCGGAAUGUAAAGUGCUUUCAGUUGGGAAGAAAAAAAUGACGGUACCAACAGAAGAAGUGACGGCUAAAUACGUG
RNAcentral lists this ribosomal RNA (455 nucleotides) under uncultured bacterium. RNAcentral describes it as "partial 16S ribosomal RNA". It matches the Rfam family "Bacterial small subunit ribosomal RNA", at positions 27 to 507 of the family's 1533-position model. The record is from RNAcentral.